AUUUUUAGAAUAUUUUUUUUUCUCUCUUCUAUUUUUAGAAUUUUCUUUCUCUUUCUUUUUUUUUGUA
This 67-nucleotide non-coding RNA is filed under the name Lotharella globosa. The record is from RNAcentral. Lineage: Eukaryota; Cercozoa; Chlorarachniophyceae.